RNAcentral lists this ribosomal RNA (253 nucleotides) under uncultured bacterium. Its description in RNAcentral is "partial 16S ribosomal RNA". It matches the Rfam family "Bacterial small subunit ribosomal RNA", at positions 524 to 776 of the family's 1533-position model. The record is from RNAcentral.
UACAGGGGGUGCAAACGUUGCUCGGAAUUAUUGGGCGCAAAGCGCGCGUAGGCGGUGACUCAAGUCGGAUGUGAAAGCCCUUGGCUUAACCGAGGAAGUGCAUCCGAAACUGAGUCGCUAGAGUACGAUAGAGGGUCGCGGAAUUCCCGGUGUAGAGGUGAAAUUCGUAGAUAUCGGGAGGAACACCGGUGGCGAAGGCGGCGACCUGGGUCGAUACUGACGCUGAGGCGCGAAAGCGUGGGGAGCAAACAGG